GAUCAUGGCUCAGAGCGAACGCUGGCGGCAGGCCUAACACAUGCAAGUCGAACGGAUCCGUUCGGGAUUAGUGGCGGACGGGUGAGUAACACGUGGGAACGUGCCUUUUGGUUCGGAACAACUCAGGGAAACUUGAGCUAAUACCGAAUGUGCCCUUCGGGGGAAAGAUUUAUCGCCAUUAGAGCGGCCCGCGUCUGAUUAGCUUGUUGGUGAGGUAAAGGCUCACCAAGGCUACGAUCAGUAGCUGGUCUGAGAGGAUGAUCAGCCACAUUGGGACUGAGACACGGCCCAAACUCCUACGGGAGGCAGCAGUGGGGAAUCUUGCGCAAUGGGCGAAAGCCUGACGCAGCCAUGCCGCGUGAAUGAUGAAGGUCUUAGGAUUGUAAAAUUCUUUCACCGGGGACGAUAAUGACGGUACCCGGAGAAGAAGCCCCGGCUAACUUCGUG
Molecule: ribosomal RNA, 447 nt
Filed under: uncultured bacterium
Lineage: Bacteria
Description: bacterial SSU rRNA
Rfam family: Bacterial small subunit ribosomal RNA
Source: RNAcentral